AACUUCCAGAGCACACCGCGACAGGGGCGAGGGCAGCAGGAGGCAGCGUGCAGGCGUACCCGCGGCGGCCUAGCUGUCGCAGCUGGUAGCGUUGCCCGUCGCCCUCUCAUCACUUUCACUUUGAGAGAUCGAGGCUUUGGGAAAAGCGACAAGGCCUGCGGGGGGGCUAGCGAGCAGCGGGCAGUACACUGGAGACACUCGCAGUAUGCAACCCGGACUGGCUCUUGCACGACAAGGCGAAGGAGGUUGAUGGUGCUGAUUUUAUUCCGAUAGAUUCAAGGGCUCCAGCGCGAAAGGAGACUGUUCGGCCCGCUCUGCCCAUACUAGAGUUUUGAAAGAGGAAUCGUACUAGAAAAGAGGGUGAUGAGUCUUUGGAACUCUGCUUCCAUCACCUAUGAGCAAAAGUUCUGUCCACCACACAAAUGGCAGCCUGUGAACAGACACAGAAAGGGAUAGCAUGUGAGCCUGGGCAGACUCAACUAUCACUAUUAUGUAAAAGAUUGUUCUGUGCCCAGCUCUCUGAGGUCCAGUUUUGCAGACACCAUUCCCUCACUGAAAUGCCUUCAGUGGGGACUGGCCCUUUCACCACAUUCCAGGUGUCCUUGUACUCUACACUGUAGCCUUACUGAGGGCAACUGGGCAACCUGCUGCCAGAACUCAGUGCUGUUGUGUGCUGCUCCCAAGCUGGCUGUGUGAACGUGUAAGAGAGCUGACCAAGGCAGCUCUCCUUGAACCUUUUUUAUUUUAUAUUCAUAAAUGAUAGCCACAGCAGGUUUGUUGAAAGGAAAACUAAGUCUGACAGUUGGUGAAGUUCUGAACUAAUGGAAAGUUGCAGCUGAGAGUUUGUUCAUAAAUUUUCAAAAGGCUUGGUCAAGUGCCACUUGAUGGACUUGUCUGAAUUUUUGAACCCUUGAGAUUAAAGAGAAGGCGGCUGAGAAUCACAGAGCCAAAGAUUGUGGUCCUUCAGACCAGAGGAAUGUGUGCAGUGAUGUUAGGAGCAAUACUGUUUGAAAUUAUGCCCUAUUUACCGAAACUAAAAUCAUUAAUAUCUAUAAAUGUUUGUGGACUAAGUCCAACAGUGGUAUAGUUUGUGGCCCACAUUAUAUAGGAAGCCCAUUGAAUCACACAAUAAUCAGCCCACUGAUUCGAUGCCAGCAGGCUUUCAACCAAAAUAACAAAUACGGUCUAGGAAGUCCCACCUGAGCAGAGCUGCUGGUCAACCAGAUGUUGCGUUCCUAGAACUCAGCAGAAGUUAUAGUUGCUGCAGAGAGAAAACCAUCCAGACCUCAGGUGGAGGAUGGUCAGAGAGGUAAAUGCAGUUUGGGUGUGGGGUUUGGGGAGGUGGGGGCAGAGAAUGUAGCUCUGAGGCAACAAAUUAGUUCAAAUUGAGAGACACCUAUAUUCUACAGUCCCUCUCCAUACAGACUGCCUGCUGGUUUAAUACUUAUGUCGGGUGAUUCUUCCUUGUCCCACCAGGAGCUGCAGUAAUCAUAGCCAAGGUAGGAUAAAGCCUUUAAAUAGGCAGUUAAUUAACCACUUGAAGGCCUCACUUGGAGGUAGGAUCAGGAAGAUUGACCAUGUGUCUUCCCACCUCUAACUUAACUCCCUACUUCCCACCAUCGAGGAGGUGAUCUACCCAGUGUCCUCUCACUCACUUAUUUGCUCUUCCUUUUACCUUCCUGCCCUUUCUUGCAAGGGGAAAAUCCAAUCCUAUGAAUGACAGGCUUGGGGCUGCAAAUUUGACUUGGAUGGUUACACAAAAUUAGUAGUAUCAGACCGGCUGCUCAUUGUCCUGAGUUUGAUAUUUAAUUCCAUUGACUGCAAAGAAACUGAAUGUCAGCCACUGUGUAUAAAAGGACUACUACCAAUGCCACUCAUUUUGUGCCACCAUUUAGGAUGAAUUUCUAGUUCUUGGUGUAUAAUUGCAAAAGCUGGUGUGGUACUGAGUUAUAGCACCAACUUUAAUCUCUGGCCUGCUGACUGUAGUGCAUUGGCCUGGGUGCCUCUGAAAUAUGAGAAUGGAAAAUUCAGCCGUGCUUCCCACUUCUGAUUGUGAUCCUGUGACCCAGCUUGCACAUUUGUGUGUUAGAUAAGGAUAGGGUUGAGCUGAGCUCAGCUGCGUGUCAUCUUGCAGUGUGACGUCCCACUGGCACUUGGCUCUCUAGUCUCAUGCUUGGGUGAAGCAAGGUCAGCAGCCUUGGAACAGGAAGUGGAAGGGACAUGGAGAAGCAAACAAUAUAAAUAAAAUAGAUUCAUACAUCCACUCAGAACCAAAUUUUCAAUGUUUUGACAUUCUUUUAUUGCUCGGUAAAUUAUGCAACAUAAGUUUAGUUCUAUACUCCAUGUUUUAUCCAUCUUUUCCCAUCAACACUCUGAACAGCCAUGGGCAUUGUUCACACUUGAUAGUAAAAUAUUUAUUUUGAUAAAAAUAUUUUUUUUUAAACCUUGAUUUUUAUUUUAAAUACUUUGCCUGUCUUCAUACUUGUUUGGGAACUCUUUUUUUCCGCUACCCCUUUCACCAGUACCAGGCAAUGCUGUUCAGCAAAGAGCAGAAGUAAACCCUUCCAGAAUGCUGUUUGUUGCUUUUUGCUCCAAGAAGAUGAAGCAAGUUACAAGAGUUUGCAUGCCAUGGUGACAGUGAGGUGCGCUAGACCAGUCACCAUCCAGAAGUCAGUACCGUCUGACAUUUUCUAAUUAAUCUGACCAGAGAUAUUAUUACACACCUCUGGAGCAGUUGGAAUUUGAAGCUGGGUCUUCCAUUCCAGAGGUCUGCAAUUACUGUCAACGGAUGGCUUUCCCAGCCCAGCUUGCCUGCCAACCUUUUGCAAAAGCCAUGUUCAAAUUCUGUACCAGCAAGUGACAGUUUACUGUUUGGCAAUUUCGAAACAGAUCCUCCCGGUGAAGCAGAUCUCUUGAGAAUAGAGCAGUGUGUUAUACAAUUGAAAAGAACAGAGAGCUGAAGACAAGAAAGUCAAGAAAUUGUGGAUUGGAGAAGACCCAUUGCUGUUGUUUCAGUAUUUCCAGAGCCCAGCAGACUGUGGUUAAAAGGGUCACAGAAGUGAGACUCUGGGGAUUCUGUGCCAUCAGGACUGUCAUGACACACGUGAGAGAGAGUUCAUAGACAUGCACGUUGUCUGUGGUAACUGUCCUGGACUUUGGAUGCAAUGUAACUGCUGGUGAGUGUGAGUCAAGGGCUGAAAUAAUUGAGUACAAAGUGAAGAAUCCGACAUUGCAGAGUCGCAGUUGGAAAGUCUGUGUGAUGAACUUAGAAUCCCUACAGUGUGGAAAGGCCAUUAGGUUCAACAAGUCCACACCAACUCUCCGAAGAGUAACCCCCAGACUCAUUCCCCUACCCUAUUA
Molecule: non-coding RNA, 3360 nt
Organism: Chiloscyllium plagiosum (whitespotted bambooshark)
Lineage: Eukaryota; Metazoa; Chordata; Chondrichthyes; Orectolobiformes; Hemiscylliidae
Source: RefSeq, a predicted model, not a curated record